AAAAAAAAGCAUGGUGUCUUGGCCUGUGUGUCACACUCAGCAUUUGGCAUUUGACUUCUUUACACUCUUAAAAGCUAUUGCAGGGCUAGAAUGGCAAAGAUGAAACCAAGAAUGCAAAUAUCUUAUCCCCAAAAAAUAUAUGGCAUGAGACCUACUUGUCUGCACUAAGUGCCUCAAGGGGUAUGGCUUAGUCAAACCACAAUUCCAUGGAACUUAAUGAAGCAGAGCACUUUAGUGAAAAGAGAAAAGAAGAAAGAAAA
RNAcentral lists this long non-coding RNA (260 nucleotides) under Pongo abelii (Sumatran orangutan). Its description in RNAcentral is "lincRNA". The record is from RNAcentral. Lineage: Eukaryota; Metazoa; Chordata; Mammalia; Primates; Hominidae.